This 86-nucleotide transfer RNA is filed under the name Caudoviricetes sp. Its description in RNAcentral is "tRNA-Leu". It matches the Rfam family "tRNA". From Rfam's summary of the family: Transfer RNA (tRNA) molecules are approximately 80 nucleotides in length. Their secondary structure includes four short double-helical elements and three loops (D, anti-codon, and T loops). Lineage: Duplodnaviria; Heunggongvirae; Uroviricota; Caudoviricetes. The record is from RNAcentral.
GUCCGGGUGGCGGAAUUGGUAGACGCGCUAGAUUUAGGAUCUAGAGUCGAAAGACACUUGAGGGUUCGAUUCCCUCCUCGGAUACA